ACAAAUCUUGAAGCAGGCCUAGCCUGUUUCUUAUUCACCUUACCUUUGUGAUAACUUUACUGUAUCUAGCGGGUUUAAAACCGAAAGGGGUUGCAAGACCACCCGCAGUUUAUUUAAAACACCGUUUAAUGAUUAUGACAUUCAAAAUUGUUUUAAAAUUAAA
RNAcentral lists this unclassified non-coding RNA (163 nucleotides) under soil metagenome. Its description in RNAcentral is "partial internal transcribed spacer 1". The record is from RNAcentral.